This 583-nucleotide ribosomal RNA is filed under the name uncultured bacterium. Its description in RNAcentral is "partial 16S ribosomal RNA". It matches the Rfam family "Bacterial small subunit ribosomal RNA", at positions 355 to 922 of the family's 1533-position model. The record is from RNAcentral.
UGGGGAAUAUUGGACAAUGGGCGCAAGCCUGAUCCAGCAAUGCCGCGUGUGUGAAGAAGGCCUUCGGGGUUGUAAAAGCACCUUUUAUCAGGAGCGAAACGCUGUCGGCUAAUACCCGGCGGAACUGACGGUACCUGAGGAAUAAGCACCGGCUAACUUCGUGCCAGCAGCCGCGGUAAUACGAAGGGUGCAAGCGUUAAUCGGAAUUACUGGGCGUAAAGCGUGCGUAGGCGGUUUCUUAAGUCUGCUGUGAAAUCCCCGGGCUCAACCUGGGAAUGGCAGUGGAUACUGGGAGGCUAGAGUGUGUCAGAGGGUGGUGGAAUUCCCGGUGUAGCGGUGAAAUGCGUAGAGAUCGGGAGGAACAUCAGUGGCGAAGGCGGCCACCUGGGACAACACUGACGCUGAGGCACGAAAGCGUGGGGGAGCAAACAGGAUUAGAUACCCUGGUAGUCCACGCCCUAAACGAUGCGAACUGGAUGUUGGUCUCAACUCGGAGAUCAGUGUCGAAGCUAACGCGUUAAGUUUCGCCGCCCUGGGGCAGUACGGUCGCAAGACUGAAACUCAAAGGAAUUGACGGGGUCAU